Molecule: long non-coding RNA, 3192 nt
Organism: Solanum pennellii
Lineage: Eukaryota; Viridiplantae; Streptophyta; Magnoliopsida; Solanales; Solanaceae
Exons: 3
Source: RefSeq, a predicted model, not a curated record
UAUUGGCCCAAAGAUGUUUGAUCAAAAAAUAUUUACUUCUCCAUCAAAAUACAGAAUUCUCAUAAGAGAUUUUCUUCUCGAGAAUCAGUACACUAAAAAUAAGGAUCCAAAUCACAUACAGAGCUUUCGUGAAGAUUUUGUUCAUAGACUUUCUCAUCAGCUUCUGCAAAUUAUUCUAUAUUAAUUACUCAAGUUGCUUGUAAUAUUCUCGUCGCUCUUUUCAUUUUUCUUACAAUGCUCAGAUAUGUUGUGUAAUGGUCUUCUAGAAUUGGAAAGACGAUGACUACUUUUGCUGUGCCAUCAGUUUUUCAGGUAUGUUAAUGUCUUAUAUGGAUUUUACUUAAGCUUUCUCUAGUUUAUGUUAAUUUCUUUUAGAUAUUUAUAGUCUGGUAAAUUGAUUAAGGAUUCUAUAGAUCUUAUUCUUGAAAACCAAUUUCUGUUUUAAUAGAAAAAGUACUUUUUGAUGUCAAUCCCAUUAAGAAAAUUUGUAUUUGGUGAAAUUUAAUAUGAAAUAAGUCGCUAAAAAUCUGAAAAUCCUAUCCAGCUACCCAAUGACCUAUAAUGCUACUCGCCAUCAAAUCAGGGCUAAGAGUUUCUGUCUGAAAACGUUUCAAGCUAAUCAAGAAAAGUAAUUUUGUUAUCUUUUUAAAAGCGUGUUAUCGUGCAUACCAUUCUUAACAUCCCCUGAAGGUUGCGCAUCAUUAUUUCCCAUCUUAUCGAUGAUCUCAAAUUCUCAACGGGCACUUCUACUAAACUCUAAUUCAUAUAAUUGGUAAUCAUGAAGUUGAAGGGAAAAACUUGUUUUGCAAAUCCCAUAUUACCAACACUAGAGUACAUAGAGAUUAAAGAGCUAUAAAUAUGGGUAUUUGGUUCUAUUCCCUUCUUAAUUGUUUGUGUAUAUACUUGUCUACCUUCAAGCACAGAUUUCAACUUGAAACAAGCUUCGGGAACAAAAGUAUAUGUAUGACUAUCCUGUAAUACUUCAUGUGUUACUAAUCCUUCAUAGAGAAACAACGACUCCAUAGGGCGUUGGAUAAAAAUCAUUCCUCUGAUCAUAAUAUUAUAUAAAAAUGUAUUAGGUGAUUGAAUUGAUGAAUUGAAGACUAAGAAUGUCAUUCUUCCUAAUCCCUAUUCUUAAAUGCACAGAAUUCUUCUCCAAUUCGUCAACUAAUGUGACUAAUUCAAGAGAUGAGCACUUCCUUCUUUGUACAUUCUAAUUGGCAUAGUUUUGCAGUAAUCUACAUGCUUUGUUUAGCGAUAAUGCAUAUGUUUCAGACCUUAUCUCUGACAUAGAUCGAAGUAGGAAAGUUACAUGUUUUUAGGGAGGAGAGACUAAGUUCAUGGAUUACCUGAAAGGAUGAAAGGGAACAACUCUUACAAGGUUUGUAAUGGCUUGAUUGAUUUACAUUUCAUCUCAAAAUUGAAGCCUAAUUCUUCUUUUCUUGUUUUGUUUUUCCAUUUGGUCUCUUUGGAAAAUACUAGAGUUGGGGUUUAAUAAGUCAUUUUUCAAUCUAGAGUUGAAGUCAGAUUAGUUGCACCAAACAACAAUAAGUCUAAAUAAAUAGACAUUUUAUCUUUGAUUUCUGAUUUUUUUUAUUCAUCUGAAGCAUUUAAUCUAAAUAAGAAAAUCUGUAAUCUUCCUGUAACAUGUUAUGAAGUGUAUGUGAUAGUAUUUUUCAACUGAUAAACGUCUAUCUAUCUAAGCCUAUAAACUAUCUCGUUCAACCUCUUAAGUUGUAACAGUUUUACGAUAAGUUCAAAUGACUAUUUAUUUGAAAGGGGAUGGAAAAAGCUUAAUUAUACAUUGCUUUCGGUUUCCCCUUCUCCUAUUGUGAAAAUAGAUGCUAUUAUUGGAUGGUUGAUGAAAAGCAUCUAGCAAAUGGUAAUCAUCAUGUAACGUGUUGUGGAGUGUAUGUGAUAGUAUUUAAACUAAAAAAGGAAAAUUUUCAUGUGGUAACACAUCCAGGAGAGAUGUGAUAGCCAAAUUUUAAAAGCAAAACAUGCUCAGAUGCAUAUCAGAGUAAAGGAAGGUGUGGUGCAUUCUACGUGAUAACUUGUCAUGUUGAAGACAUGGUAUCUGAAAGAGAAUACUAUUGUUUCUUUAUUUUUUGCUUGCACCUUUGUCUUAAUGCUUCCUACUGUCCUAACUGUGAUCACAAGUUAUAAGUGUAUCUGCAUGUCUGGUAGUCCAUUCAUCUAUGAGUCACAAGUUAUAAGAAUAUCUACCCUUGAGUGAUUCAUUUUUAAGAUUUUGUUAUAUAUAUUUCUUCUUGCAUUGUUUAUAGGCAUCUCUUCUUUCUUCAUCAAUGUGAAACAACCUCUGAUUGUCCGGCACAUUGAAACCAUCCUUUUGCAUGUUAUGUUUUCUGAAUUUUGUUUAUUUUUUAAGUUACUUAUUCUGUUUUAAUUGGUUUCUACCUCAGAUCUUGAGUGCAUUUUUACUGUAAUUUGCAACCUUGUCAAGAAAACUGAGAGUUCAGACCAAGUACACAAGAUGGCAGAGCUCAUAUCCAUUACACUCUCCCAACAACCAAGUGAUAAGCUUGCUUUUCACUUAAAAAAUGUAUCAUGUCUUGAAAUUAAUAACUUCAAUUGCUAGAGUAUUUUUUUCUGGUGUCACAGCGCACUUUCUUCUUCCUCUUAUUUCAGAUUGGUCAAUCUCUACAACCUGUUGGAUAAUCCUUAUAGCCGUUUCUUUGUGUAGAUGAAGGCCCUUAAUAUGGCCAUGAAUGAAAAAGUCGUUGAACAUAUCUAUCCAUCUUUCAAAAAAAUAGAUAGCUUUUUAAAAGAGUGGAAUCUUGGAGUUGAAGAUCAGAGAGGGAUGUUUCUUAAGAUCUCAAUCAUUUUGAAGGAAACCAAGGGGACUUCUCCAUGAAGAUUGUCUCGUCUGAUAAGCUCAACCUUGUGCCAUUUGAGCAUGCUGAUAUACGUAACCUUUACGAGAUGAGGGGAGAACAUGGACGUUGAGCUUGCUGGAAGCCAAGUAUCAUAAGUCAAAUAGCUAGCUGGAGUAUUAAAGUCAUUUUCAAAUAAGGCUAUCUGUGGCAUUUCGAGCUCCCCUUCGUGUGGAAGCCACAGUCAAAUAACUUUUUGCAUCUAUCCUAUUUUGUUAUUAUAUUUUCUUUGUUUUCACUUCUUAAAACUCUUGUUUUAAUCUAUUGUUAAUUUUUUUUGCAAUACUAGAUGAUCUAU